CCCCUUCUCCAAUAGCCUUAGCUCUAGAAAUCACAUAAAAGUUUUCACCUUCAAGAACCUCUACUCCUCAACAUAACACAUUACUAUGCUUCCACAACCACCAUCAUACUAACAUAUGGAGGGUUUUUAGGGACCCGAGCACAAACAUCAUAAAUGGGAGUAACACUGUUAGAUUAUAACAUAUACUUAUUGCACUGCUCAAGAUUGGUUAUGAGGUGAAGAUAUUGUCACACCCCUU
RNAcentral lists this long non-coding RNA (238 nucleotides) under Capsicum annuum. Its description in RNAcentral is "long non-coding RNA (CANN_LNC019177)". Lineage: Eukaryota; Viridiplantae; Streptophyta; Magnoliopsida; Solanales; Solanaceae. The record is from RNAcentral.